This 484-nucleotide ribosomal RNA is filed under the name uncultured bacterium. RNAcentral's name for it is "partial 16S ribosomal RNA". It matches the Rfam family "Bacterial small subunit ribosomal RNA", at positions 28 to 523 of the family's 1533-position model. The record is from RNAcentral.
GACGAACGCUGGCGGCGUGCUUAACACAUGCAAGUCGAACGAUGAAGCUAGAGCUUGCUCUGGUGAAUUAGUGGCGAACGGGUGAGUAACACGUGAGUAACCUGCCCCGAACUCUGGGAUAACUGCUGGAAACGGUAGCUAAUACUGGAUACGACCUACGAGGGCAUCUUCUGUAGGUGGAAAGAAUUUCGGUUCGGGAUGGACUCGCGGCCUAUCAGCUUGUUGGUGAGGUAAUGGCUCACCAAGGCGACGACGGGUAGCCGGCCUGAGAGGGUGACCAGCCACCCUGGGACUGAGGCACGGCCCAGACUCCUACGGGAGGCAGGAGUGGGGGAUAUUGCACAAUGGGCGCAAGCCUGAUGCAGCAACGCCGCGUGGGGGAUGACGGCCUUCGGGUUGUAAACCUCUUUUAGUAGGGAAGAAGCGAAAGUGACGGUACCUGCAGAAAAAGCAUCGGCUAACUACGUGCCAGCAGCCGCGGUAA